This is a non-coding RNA of Myodes glareolus (Bank vole), 381 nucleotides long. The record is from RefSeq and is a predicted model, not a curated record. NCBI's taxonomy places the organism in Eukaryota, Metazoa, Chordata, Mammalia, Rodentia, Cricetidae.
UCUGGCUGCGAGACCCAGCGUGGCUCUGAUUCCGGCGCCUGCGUGUCAGUCGCGCAGCGUGACCGGGGAAGCUGGCUCCGCGUCGCGGUUGCCCGUGAUGGGCCUUGAAGGAAGAUGCUUUGAAGUAGAUCGGAGCCGAGAAAGCUCCUGAGAGAAACGUGCACCCCUUGAGGCUCUGUGCGUAGCUGGCGCCCUGAGAAUGUCACCUUUUCCGGAAGAUGCAACCCUGUACCCUUGAAAGUAGAAAACCUUGUUGGAGUCUACAAACCGUAAAGCAGGAUGUGGGCACCGUGAAAAAAACAAGAGACCCCAUUCAAGACUUUCUUGGGCCCAAACCUCGUUCUGCGGACCAACAAAGAAUGCAUGGUUAUGAUCUGUAAA